Molecule: ribosomal RNA, 253 nt
Filed under: uncultured bacterium
Lineage: Bacteria
Description: partial 16S ribosomal RNA
Rfam family: Bacterial small subunit ribosomal RNA
Source: RNAcentral
UACGAAGGUCCCAAGCGUUAUCCGGAUUUAUUGGGUUUAAAGGGUGCGUAGGCGGGUUAUUAAGUCAGUGGUGAAAGCCUACAGCUUAACUGUAGAACUGCCAUUGAUACUGAUGAUCUUGAGUAUGAUUGAGGUUGGCGGAAUGUGUCAUGUAGCGGUGAAAUGCUUAGAUAUGACACAGAACACCGAUUGCGAAGGCAGCUAACUAAGUCAUAACUGACGCUGAUGCACGAAAGCGUGGGGAGCAAACAGG